This 444-nucleotide ribosomal RNA is filed under the name uncultured Rhodoplanes sp. Its description in RNAcentral is "bacterial SSU rRNA". It matches the Rfam family "Bacterial small subunit ribosomal RNA", at positions 335 to 796 of the family's 1533-position model. The record is from RNAcentral. Lineage: Bacteria; Pseudomonadati; Pseudomonadota; Alphaproteobacteria; Hyphomicrobiales; Nitrobacteraceae.
UUGCCUACGGGAGGCUGCAGUGGGGAAUAUUGGACAAUGGGCGAAAGCCUGAUCCAGCCAUGCCGCGUGAGUGAUGAAUGCCCUAGGGUUGUAAAGCUCUUUCGGCGGGGAAGAUAAUGACGGUACCCGCAGAAGAAGCCCCGGCUAACUUCGUGCCAGCAGCCGCGGUAAUACGAAGGGGGCUAGCGUUGCUCGGAAUUACUGGGCGUAAAGCGCACGUAGGCGGGUCGUUAAGUCGGGGGUGAAAUCCUGGAGCUCAACUCCAGAACUGCCUUCGAUACUGGCGAUCUCGAGUCCGGGAGAGGUGAGUGGAACUCCGAGUGUAGAGGUGAAAUUCGUAGAUAUUCGGAAGAACACCAGUGGCGAAGGCGGCUCACUGGCCCGGUACUGACGCUGAGGUGCGAAAGCGUGGGGAGCAAACAGGAUUAGAUACCCUAGUAGUCU